CAUUUUUAAUCAUUGACUAACAGCCGUAUUCAUAAAAAAUCCUUAAAUGAGGAAUGAUCAGCUUAUUAGCUAAUCCACUGUUUAGGCUUAAUAAGCCGUUGAUAAGAACCAUGAUUUAUAAACGUUUAUUAGGGGUUUCUUAACUAAUAAGCAGAUUAGACCCGUUAUGUUGGCAUCUUGGCACAUCAUAGACAAAAAUAUGGCUGAACAUUAAUUAAAAAAAAAAGUUUGACAGCAGCACUAGCGGUAAAUCAUAAAAUCCUGAACAAUACGAUGCACAAUUUUGACCAGUUUUCUGGGUUAUUAUAUAUUAAAAUAGCCUCUGCAUCACAAAAACAAAUAAAUAAUAUUGCACGGCCGGAAGUUUUACGAAACUCGUUUCAAUAUAUUGUGGAAUGAGGGAAAGAGGGCAGUUGCACAUUUCAAGUCAAGAAUUCUGCCUGCGCGCCAUCGCCACCGUAAUACCACGGAUUCCAACACAUUUUGUUCUGGUGGCGAAACACAAACGAUAUUGACACUAUUCAUAUCAAAUGAUCGGUGAAGAUAAAUCAGGUGAGCAAGAUUUGGUUAUUCAUUUCUUAACGUAAAAUGUUGUAGUAUUUUUAUGAACAUACCUCGACACCCAAAAAAUUAUGGCCUCUUCAUUUUUAAUUUGACGUACUAUCGGUGUUUUUUAGAAGAGCAGAGCUAACCAAGCUAGUUAGGAGCUGUUUAUAAUUAGAAUUAGUGAAUAACAUACUUAACCAACCACACGAUGGAACCAAUUUAUCAGUGAAGUGGUGAUUUAUCUUAAAAACCUUUUUUGUUCGCCUAGGGCGCAGAGUUAAAGAUAAGCGCUUAUAUAUGCAACUUGACAAUGACAAUGUUUGCAGUGAAACAUCUCAGCCAAUAGCCGCAUUAAAAGGCAAACUGCACAAUUCAUAAUGAGGCAGAAAUGUCCAUUAUUCACAGGAGUGUCGCUGUUGGUUGUGAGUAUUCCAUCAUCAGCUAUUUGUCCGGAGCUGGCUACACAAUCCGGAGGCCACACUCUUCUGGCAUCUAACCGGCCUGCACACCGCCAUCAAAUGAAGUUGGUUGUACUGAAAUAAAGAAAAAAUAUUAACUAGUUUAAUGAUUGUCAAAUGUAAUAAAAUUGUUUUAUUUAAGUGGGUUGUUUGAUUUCCCUAAAUUAACACAUGAAAUAUGUUGAUAUGUUAUAAUAAAAAUCUCAGUUAAAAACUCA
Molecule: long non-coding RNA, 1222 nt
Organism: Cydia fagiglandana
Lineage: Eukaryota; Metazoa; Arthropoda; Insecta; Lepidoptera; Tortricidae
Exons: 3
Source: RefSeq, a predicted model, not a curated record